Molecule: ribosomal RNA, 253 nt
Filed under: uncultured bacterium
Lineage: Bacteria
Description: partial 16S ribosomal RNA
Rfam family: Bacterial small subunit ribosomal RNA
Source: RNAcentral
UACGGGGGGUGCAAGCGUUACUCGGAAUCAUUGGGCGUAAAGGGCGCGUAGGCGGCCAAGUAAGUCAGGUGUGAAAGCCCGGGGCUCAACCUCGGAAGUGCAUUUGAUACUGCUUGGCUUGAGUAUGGGAGAGGGAAGUGGAAUUCCUGGUGUAGAGGUGAAAUUCGUAGAUAUCAGGAGGAACACAGGUGGCGAAGGCGACUUCCUGGACCAAUACUGACGCUGAGGCGCGAAGGCGUGGGGAGCAAACAGG